CUUUCGGUAGCUCAGCUGGUUUAGAGUAGGGGACUGUAAUGGUUGCAUCUUCUCUAUCCCUUGGUCGGGUGUUCGAAUCACCCCCGAAAGA
Molecule: transfer RNA, 91 nt
Filed under: Tremella mesenterica
Lineage: Eukaryota; Fungi; Basidiomycota; Tremellomycetes; Tremellales; Tremellaceae
Also listed under: 1 other name
Rfam family: tRNA
About the family: Transfer RNA (tRNA) molecules are approximately 80 nucleotides in length. Their secondary structure includes four short double-helical elements and three loops (D, anti-codon, and T loops).
Source: Rfam by way of RNAcentral